CCUACGGGUGGCUGCAGUGGGGAAUUUUCCGCAAUGGGCGAAAGCCUGACGGAGCAAGACCGCGUGAGGGAAGAAGGCCUGUGGGUUGUAAACCUCUUUUGAUAGGGAAGAAGUUCUGACGGUACCUAUCGAAUCAGCCUCGGCUAACUCCGUGCCAGCAGCCGCGGUAAUACGGAGGAGGCAAGCGUUAUCCGGAAUUAUUGGGCGUAAAGCGUCCGUAGGUGGUUGUUCAAGUCUUCUGUCAAAGCGCGGAGCUUAACUCCGUAAAGGCAGAG
RNAcentral lists this ribosomal RNA (275 nucleotides) under uncultured bacterium. RNAcentral describes it as "partial 16S ribosomal RNA". It matches the Rfam family "Bacterial small subunit ribosomal RNA", at positions 338 to 628 of the family's 1533-position model. The record is from RNAcentral.